AGUGAACGCUGGCGGUAGGCCUAACACAUGCAAGUCGAACGGCAGCACAGUAAGAGCUUGCUCUUACGGGUGGCGAGUGGCGGACGGGUGAGGAAUACAUCGGAAUCUACUUUUUCGUGGGGGAUAACGUAGGGAAACUUACGCUAAUACCGCAUACGACCUACGGGUGAAAGCAGGGGAUCUUCGGACCUUGCGCGAUUGAAUGAGCCGAUGUCGGAUUAGCUAGUUGGCGGGGUAAAGGCCCACCAAGGCGACGAUCCGUAGCUGGUCUGAGAGGAUGAUCAGCCACACUGGAACUGAGACACGGUCCAGACUCCUAGGGGAGGAAGCAGUGGGGAAUAUUGGACAAUGGGGGCUGGCCUGAUCCAGCCAUACCGGGUGGGGGAAGAAGGCCUUGGGGUUGUAAAGCCCUUUUGUUGGGAAAGAAAAGCAGCAGGUUAAUACCCCGCUGUUCUGACGGUACCCAAAGAAUAAGCACCGGCUAACUUCGUG
This 492-nucleotide ribosomal RNA is filed under the name uncultured bacterium. Its description in RNAcentral is "partial 16S ribosomal RNA". It matches the Rfam family "Bacterial small subunit ribosomal RNA", at positions 29 to 507 of the family's 1533-position model. The record is from RNAcentral.